GUUAGGGCCUUCCCAGGCCCGAUCUCCAACCCUAUGUAUAACUACCAUGUUGCUUUGACGGGCCCGUCUUUAACCGGACCUCGGGGGUCUCGACCCCUGGCCUGUGCCCGUCAGUAGCCCGCAUUAAAUCUUUUAACCAUGUUAUAUCUGAAUAAUAGUUAAAUAAACUAAAACUUUCAACAACGGAUCUCUUGGUUCUGGCAUCGAUGAAGAACGCAGCGAAAUGCGAUAAGUAAUGCGAAUUGCAGAAUUCAGUGAGUCAUCGAAUCUUUGAACGCACAUUGCGCCCUUUAGUAUUCUGAAGGGCAUGCCUGUUCGAGCGUCAUUAUCACUAAUCAAGCCCGGCUUGCUGUUGGACCUUGUCGGUUAUCCCGACAGGCCCCAAAAAUAAUGACGGUGUUGAUUGGACCCUAGAUGCAACGAGCUUUCAAUAGCACGCAUUAUAGUGGCCUUUUAACCCGGUCUUUUUUGACCAAUUUCUAAGGUUGACCUCGGAUCAGGUAGGAAUACCCGCUGAACUUAA
RNAcentral lists this ribosomal RNA (523 nucleotides) under uncultured fungus. RNAcentral's name for it is "eukaryotic LSU rRNA". The stretch from base 172 to 325 matches the Rfam family "5.8S ribosomal RNA". Lineage: Eukaryota; Fungi. The record is from RNAcentral.